AGUGCAUGAAGUGUGUAAUUUUGAAGUCUAAACCUCUGAGAACUCACGACACUCUGAGGCAGCAGUUUGCCUUCAAAGUUGUCUCUCUACCUGUACUUACCAUCUCUUGUGAUACAGCACUACUGCUCACAUUUCCUCUGCAGAAAGUCAUAAGGUUUACUUUCUAAAAAUCUCAUCAUCUUCUCUUAAUUAGGCAUUUUCACACAAUGAUCCAUAUGGGAGUCAACGACAAAGGUGCUGAUGUGCAGCACAGCCUGGCCCCGUGGAUGGAGAUUGAUAAGGCUGGCAGAGGGGCAGACCAUCACCUUUGAAGACUGGAUUUUCUUCUGAAACCAUCAAAUAUGUAAAGCUGGCAGAGGAACGAAAUGGCAGGGAGAGUGUGCAGUGGAUGGAGCUCCUUCCCCACAUCAUCUGAGGGUUGCUCAGGCUUGCCUAAAAGUCGUCAGAGGGUGGCGAGUCACCCAUCCAACUGGAGCUGAGAGUCUGCUUUUUGCUUCUGAAACAGGACCAUGAUUUCUGUUCGUGUCUCUCAAGGUUCAGGAAGUGAUAUACGACUCCGUGUGAUGGCCAUGGGUGGUGAGCUCUGUGACAAGAUUUCAAUGCUUCAGGGAAAAGAGGUUGCUGGGUGCCCGAGUCAGGAUGUCGAUCUCACCUGCAGCCCCGAGGUCCUUUCCCAGGCUUGUGGCUCAUCUUCCAAGGAUAUUCCCGCACAACCCAAAGCUUGAGAGAAACCAGAUUGUUUAAGAAAGCUAACCCAUUCAGAGGUAAAGAUGAAAAGUGAAAAGCCCAUGAAGAUCAGAUGGAAGAAUCAGAAUUAUCAUUCAGAUUUCUGUACUCCGACUCUGAUUUUCCUGGAUUUGUGACUUGGAAAAUACCUUUGCUCUGCAGUGCUUGCUCAGAAGACUUUACAUCGACGUCCAGUGGUGCAGCUCAGGGUGGUCUGUGACUAAGCUGGAAGUGCUUGAAGGAAUAUUGGAUGGGUAAGUAGGGAUGACUCCUCUGCUUCUUUACUUGUGUGGGGUCCAGCUGAGACUUAGCUACGUUUUCUGUCUCCCGUGAGCAAGAGCAAGGGGAGAUGAAAGACCAGAAAGGAAGACAGUGUUAAGUCCACAAUUACCAGCAUUAUUGAGCGGGAGAUGGAAGCCGAGCAGGAGUUUAGCAGGGUAAGCAGCAUGCUCCUCCUCCCUCGCCUGGGAGUGGCUCCUUGUGCUGCACCACCUGGGAGAUCCCAAGGGUAUGAACACCUCAGGAAGCUGGAGUAGAAAGAUGGGGAAGGAGAGUUUAAACUGGGCACGUUGUGGCCCCUAUUCUUGAACAAAUCACAGCACCAUGUGGCCCUACCAUCACAAAACUAGCAGUCCGUGGCCAGGUGCCUCACUUCUAACAUCGUUACCAGUUGAAGUUGCUUUGAAGACAUCUAAAAAAGCAUCUCGUCCUGUUCAUGCCCACUGAAAAGCCUGUCUCUCAACACUGCCCACACAAGAAAUUGGGAACUGCGCCGAACCCAUGGAGCCUUGUCACUAUUCCUGGGCUGCUGUGGACCAAGGAGGUCUUGGGGACAAGAGGUAAGGUGCCACCGCAGGGCAGAGCCGGCUCGGCUCAAUGGUUGUCCCUCCAGCGGGACCCUGUCCUGCUGGUCUGCACAGAGGGAUUUCUCCGGUCCCUCUCUAAACACGAGGACUGCAGCAACUCUCCUGUUGACUUAGCUGGGAACAUCAGGCUCAUUUUCUUACCUAAUGCUUCAAAGGUAAAAAUACACUCCUUUGAUCUGUGCAGCUAAAAGUGUCAUUGAGCUAUGUUGUUAAAAAAAAUUAUAAAAAAUGACCAGAUGGCACAGUAGCUGGAUUUGGCUGGCUUAGAAUAGGGUAUUAUUCCAACACAGAUAACAACGUAUCCCUCCAAAUAAAACAAGUGACCACAGAGCAUAUGUUUUAUUGAACAUCAGAGAUUUUUACUGUGAUAAUUACAAUGAUACAAUGCUGGUGUCCUUUAUCCAUAGAAAGCUUCGAUGAGCCUGAGCCCCGGUGGGGCUGGUGAUGCUUUCUUGUCCCUUGCAGGUCCAUGAACUCGCAUGAAAAUGUGGCUGAGGCUUAAAGCACUGGCCCAACCCUGCUGCUCUGCCAAAGUUAUGCUAAGCUCAGCAUCACUGACGCUGUAAUGUGGGUAAAGAAAAUCAGAGUAAACUCCUGCAAGAGUUUACUUCCACUUGAUUUUUCAAGUUCUGGGUGCAGAAUAACAGCCACAAAAUAUGUGGCAUAAAUCAAAGCAAGUUAAGUGCAGCUAAACUAGGUUAAUAGUGGUGUAGGUGGUGGUUUAAAAAUCAGGAACAGCUGAAAAUUUGACUGCACUGAUGUUAAUGCUGUGUUAGCCUGGGAAAGGGAUGGUUUUUUGUAAGUCAGUCUUCAGCCAGUUCCAGCCUCAACCCUUGAAUGCAGCCUGCUGUUCAGAAGGAGCUUAGCAUUCCAGUUUAAUCAUGGCCAAAAUACAAAGUAAUGUGUAUAGAUAAUUGGGUGUGUGCAUGGUGCUUAACCCACACUGCCAUUCAUAGUUUGGAAAUGUUAUUGGGGCUUAAGUGAUGGAGUCACCAAGCACUGCUGGAGGGUUUGCCCCUGCGGGAGAAUUUACAUCCCACGUAAAAUCGGGUACCUUGAACCCAUGAUGGUGGUGCAGGUGAAAUGGUGGGGUGACCCACCUGGACUAACAGGGUGCCCUGGGAUGGAUGGGUGCCUCGCUCCUGCCCUCCACAGUCUGGCAUCCUGACUCAGUGCCUCAAGUUAGGCACAUCCCGUCUUUGGGUUAAAAAAGGAGGGCAGGAGCCUUGAGGGGCUCCAGGAGAAUGCAGGGGAAGAGCAAACGGGAAGACACCAGGGGACUGUCACUAGCAAAGAUAACAAAAUUAACAAGUAAACUAAGAGGCAAUUUAGAACAUCAAUAUGCACAGCAAUAAGUGACAAUGAAUCACCAGAGAUCUGUUGCUUUAAUGAUGCUGUUGUUAAAAUGAUGGCCUAGAGCGAUUUCAGACCACGUAUACUGAAUUUUGGCUGAUGCUUAUCAAUUUAUAUGCAAGAAAAUUUAUAGCAUGCAACCCAAAUGAAACAGUCCUUUGGACAAGAAGAAAUGGAUUGCAGGUGCAAACAAGCAUGAAAUGAAAAUCUACUAAUGAGUUUCCAUUAGCAGCUAAAUACAUAAUCGAAUAAUUUUUAGCCAACAUAGAGCAAUGAGAAAAUCAAUUUAUUCCUCAUAAGUACUACUGUGUGGAUUGAUGCUCUAGUACAUCUAAAGCUGGUUUUGUUAAGCGAAAGGCGAGCCUUGGGUUCAGUUAAAGCUCAGCUAAUAGCAGCAGAGCAUGGGUUAGGUGUUACUGAAUAUGAGUGCAAUAGAUUUUAUUUGGAAACUCUGAAUAACAUGAGAUAAAAUGAGGUAUUAGUAUGGAGUAUUUCCAUCUGAAAGCUAGACACUAAAAUAUUUCAGCAAGAUGAACUAGCACUGGCACAUCUGAAUUUACUUAUGACUGUCCAUUAAUGAAAUAAGCAUUGUACUUCAUCUGCUCUUGAAGCAACGGUAUCCUCAAUUUCCUUUCUUUUUGCCUUAAACAGCCUCUACCUGAGUUUUGCUUGCAUGGUGUUUUCACACCUUAUUCAGCUAUGGUAAAUAUUUCUCCUCCACCUACGGAGACCCUGAUUCCAAGGCUCUCACAGCCAUAGAUAUAAACAACAUAACUUUGAAAAGCCAGUUUGAAAGUGUUGGUGAGGGUUCUGCAGCAGAAGACACACGUUGGUGUCAAAGAGGCACCACUUCAGCAGCACGCAUGAGAACGGCAAAACCGUGUGUUUGCGCAGUUCCUGCAGGGAGUGACAUUUAUACUGAGAAACUGGCUCGUAUGUGCAGUACAAAUAAUGCAGUGUUUCUUCCAGGCCAGGUUCUUCACCUUUCCUUCCAGCAGUGUACGUGUCUCCUGGACCUCAUGGGGAUACUGGUGGAGAAAAUGCCGUUCCACAGAGUGGAGCUCUGAUGGGCACGAUUUGGCCUCUGCUCUCCAGAAUGAUUCAUGGAGUAAGAGAUAUUUUCCAAGAAUAAGUUUAUAUCUUGGUAAGUACAGAAAUGUAGAAGAGAAAAACUAUUUACUUCUCUCCUGGGGAGCUGCCAGUCCUAUGGCCCUCCCCAUGCAUUUCUCCCAGGUGCUCCUGUGUCCCAGAGGACCCGCACCUGCCCCAGGAUGGCAUUGUAAGGGGUUGGAAAUAUCUUCACAGCUUCCAGGGGGAGAGAAAUGCAGCAGAGCAUCCUCCUCGCUCUGUUGAACAGCACCCUGCACCUGAAGGGCAGUGGCAGGAAAAUGCUAAGGGCAUCGUAGGUCAGACUUAGGUAUUGCUGAAAAGAAGUUGGGCUAUGGAUGCGUGAGCAAGUUGCCCUAAGGAUCCCAUAUAUAUCAACUGACCUGUGAGAACCGUGUCCGUGAGAGCCAGGCAAUGCACGGUAACUUGAUAACCUUAAUUAAAGAGAUUCUCAUUCUCUUUCUUUGGCAUUGGUUGAGGCUAGAAAUGCGGUGCUACCUCAGAUAACCUUAUUUUAUCCAGGAGCACGCACAGGCAGAUUAUAGCCCACUGUGCAGUAAGGUGUUUUCACUUCCACAGAGCCAGUACUCCGCGGUCAGAGUUUAAACAGACGUUUUGAAACCAGUUCAGUAGAAGAUGCAUGAAUGUAAACAUUUCCUCUUCGAUGUUUAUAACCCAGAUUCAGAAGCCUUGUGGUUAUAUGUGAGAUUGCAACAUGGACGUGUAGAAAGUCUUUGUUUUCAGUCCGUAAGUGAACCUUGAUUUUUUUAAAAGUAUAUUUAUGUACAUGUAUGUGCAAACACAAAGAUAUUGUCUCAAAAGCAAGUAUACCAUUUGCUGCUAUGCAAUCAUACAGCAUUUUCUUAGAUCUCUGAUAAGUGCCGUUUAUUGCAUUUUUAAUUUUAAGUCAAGUCAAAAAGGAGACUUGCCUGGGAUUUUUCACUGUGGUUUUGUCACCCAGUUCCCACUAAAGCUGAGUGUGUGAUUUUGCUGAAAAAAGAUGCUGAUUUUGCAAGAAUGCAAAACCUGUGCUGACAUCAGUGGGAGCUGUGUAUCUGGAAUGAUUAAAGACCAACGCCAACGAUAUGACUGCAUGGUAUUAACCUGGGAUCUGGGAAACGAGUACUUUUUGCUCUGCAGUCGUCUUAAUAAAGGGCAGCUUAAGGUGACCAGAAGCCCAGUCCCGCUGAUCAUCUGCACUGUGAGCUUCCAAAGUCAUCUGCUGGCCGCUGGUCAGUUCGACCUUGAAAGCAGUGAUGAACAUCAAGGGCAGAGGGCAGCUCUGCCCUCCCCUCCCAGCCUGGGUACCUGCCAUCAUGGGCCAGACCAUCCACUGGCGGCAAUGACAACCUUGUCCUCCCUGCCAGGCUCACAGGUCCUCACCGUGCUGCUUCUCCUUCCACAGCUCCUGGGGUGAGCUGAGCUCCUGGGGAGCCUCCCCACCAGAUGGUAAGAGGAUCUCUUAAAUUGCUACGGCUGUAGAAAACUUCCACCACUACUUUUUCCCAGGCAUCAUCUGCUAUACUCCAGUGAUAAAUCCAGUGUUCUGUAUAAACAAUUAUUUCCCUGACAACCUAGUUUUCCAUUAGAAAAAUGCCCAAACCUGGGACUUAUUAUGGCAAUUGACAGGUAAAAAUUCAGCUUGUGUGGACUCAUGCUGUUUAGCAUAUAUACCCAAACAGUGAGGGAAUGGCAUGUGUCAAACCCACAGCCACCUUAUUAUACUGCGAGAACCACAGGGAUGCACACAGUGACAGGGAAGCCAGAUUCUUUUCAGCCCUCUGUCAUAUUCAGAGUGUUAACAGGGCUGAGAUUAAAAUAUCUGAAAUGUUUUUCACUGGUAAGAACUCUGGAAGUACUGAUUCUUGCAGACUAAUUGCCCCAAAAACAAUUUUUUAACCCACUGUUUGAUACAGCUUUACCUGUCAAGCUAAAGAGAGGUGUCAGAAAGUUAAACCUGUUUGGACGAGGCUUAUUUGAUGUGAAAAGCAGCCAGGAGCCCAGCAGGAGGGUAUUUUCCCAGCUGAGAAUUACAAAAGAACAUCUUCAUUUUAGAGACGAGCUCAGAGGUAAGCACGUAAACCAGCCAGGCGCAGUACCCAUCAGCACAGAGCCUCGGCGCGGGCUUGGCCAGGGUGUCUGCCGGCAUCCUCAGCAUCACAGGUUGCUUCAGGUUUCUGUUUUUAGAGCUGAGCUUUGCCUCAUUUCAUGAUGAUCAGACGGUGGGUACUGAGGGUCUGCGGUCCCUGAUUGUGCCUGCAGAGCCAAAGAGCCUCCCCGUAAGCCACAAGCUGCAGUUGCAGGCACUCUGGUGGCAUGGGCAGGGUGUAAUUCCUAAACACCCUCAGGGGCCCCUGUGCCAUCAGAAGACAGGGAGGACAGGGCCAGCAGGCUUACCCCUCUUUCUUGUCGGCUGGCAGAGGCUCAGGAGUAGAAGACAUGGACCGUAUGUGUUGGGGGCUGUUCCAGACCUGCUGGAAUGCAGUUACCUCCGUGGUGCUUCAUCAGCGGUUUCCAUAUAUAAAGGGUAUUUUGGAAGGAGCAGAAAAUCGCUUUGUGCAAUUAAAAAUAUCCAAAGGACUGGGGAUGGUAGAGUGUAAAUAACUAAAUGACCAAAUUGGCUUUCUCUUCUUGGAAGAGAUCCAUAACACAGAUGCUGUUGGGCAUGUUGUUGUUUGGAUGACUCUGUCCUGUUCCUUCCUCAGCUGCCUGUACCUCCUGCUCUGCCAUGACACUGCUGGGCUCCCUGCAUUGCUACACUCGAUUUGUUCAAAUAACAGUCUUUCAAAGAAUAAUGCCCUUUUACUCAAGGUUGAGAAGUGGCUGAAUCAGUGAAAGCAGCGCUUGGAAGUUUUCCUGGGAGGUUACUGUCUCAAGUACUGGUCAGGACCUCAUCGGCUCAGCCUGUUAGAGAUGCUGACACUGCAAACCCUGCUGCAUUUUCCUGGCUUCAGGUGUGAUUCUUCACUCAGUGGAACCUUUGAGUAAGCUUGUGGAGGGAGAGACAAAUCUUAAGGAGCAAACUACAGAAUCACGUUUAUCCAUGGUUUCCAGAAGAAAAGUAGAAGGGAGCAAUCUGUUCUCCUUUCCUCUCCAAAAACAGAUCCAGGAGCUCAUUACAUUGAAAUAACAUGAUGAAGAGGCAAAGUUCACCCAAUAAGUGCUUCCAUGUCACAGUUAGCUAAAAAAUGACAUCUUGGAAGCUUUAAAGGACUGUGAAACCCAACCAUGCUGGACAAAGGCCUCUAAGAGCCCUUGAAUGUCUCAACUGAAAACCUGGCGACUUCCUUGGCAGGAGUUCCCAAAGAGAAAAUAUUUCAGGCUUUGAGGAUCUCACAUACGCCGCUGCUGCAGCCACGAAUACUGUAAAAUCCUUCUCCAUGGUCAGAUCCUUCAGGACAAGCUGUGGUCAUUGUAUAAGUGCAGAGCACAAUCAAAAUGGAAAUGGAAACAAUUAAAUAUACACGACAAGCAGGUAUUAAGCCCUCCUCAUGCCAGCCAGGGACCCAGCCCCGCAGGAGAAGGCAGCCCUUUGCUCCUGUAGCUGGAGUGGGAUUUCCACAGCUGCAAAGUUGCCUUUCCAAGGCAGCUCCGAGCACGAUCUCAUCAAAGGAUUCCUGGAGCACAAAGCAAAAAAGACUCAAUCCCUUCAACACUUCACUAAUUACUGACCUGGAGCCGGACAGUGCGUGCGGACCCCGAUCUUUGAGAUGGAGGAUUUUUGUGGCUGGCAGCACCCAUGGUUGGGAGCAUCAGCCUGAACGCACUGUGAAAAACCUUCUGGUCCAUUUUACGCCCAACAGCAAAACUGUAUGUAUGUCCGUAAAGUGAGGAACUACAGUGCUGCCUGAGCUGUGGGAAGACAUCUGCAGAGGCAGUGCUGUGGCGGAAUGCGGGCAGGCCAUACUGGAAAAAAUAAGGAGUUUGUUUAGUGGUAAAAGCUCUGAUGUUUUUUGCAAAUGUGUUUGCAGAGCCAUUAAAAGCUAUGUUUAAUCUCUGCUCCAUUUCCAUUCUGGUAUGCAUUAUGCUUCUUCUGCAAGGAGUGAGUGCAGUUAAUGGCAUCGGGCGGCUCUGCCUCUGCUGAUGGGGAGGCUGGGCAAGAUCUUGUGGGGGCUGCUCUGCCAGGGGACUCCGGAGACCUCUCUGAAACCAAAGCACAGGGCUAAAUGCCGCUCCAUGUUUGUGUGUGCCAAACUAGGAUGCCAGCGUUUGUGACUGAAUGAAAACUUCCCUGAAUUAGUAAUGACAUUUUUAUUUUUAAGGGACUCAAGCUCAGGCAGCACUUUUAAAAAUGAAUCAUGAUUUUAGGUGAUUUCUUUCUACGUGGAUGCUCAGAACUGUCUGAAAAUAGUCUGUUAAAGCUAUUAGGACUCUAAUGGAGGUGCUCACACUCACUAAACUGAUCGGCAAACAAUGGCUGUAGUGUCUCAUCCUCCUGAUUAUAUUCCCUAUUUGCAUUUCCUUGGAUAUACAAAGAAAAAGCAAAUCAACAAUGAACAGCACAGUUAGAGCAGGAAUAACCAAAGUGUGAUAGAGGAAUAACUGCUGAUCUGGAGGUGUCAUACUGCACUGCCAGACACACACCCGGGCCUUUUGCAGCAGAGCACCCCGCAGCUUCCUGGGCAUCCCGGUGCUGCUUGGGAGCUGCUGGAGCAGUGGGGUGGCUCAGGCUGGUCCCCGACUCGUUCCCUGCCUGGGAUGCACUGACAGGAGCAAGCAGUGCAGCUUGGCAUGGCUCAGGUGCAAAAUGCUGUGGGAGCGUUCUUUUUUGUCCUUCAUCAGAAGGAUGGAAACCAAGGUUUGAUAUGUUAACACUUGGCCUAAUAUUAGCUAGGGAAAUAAAGCAGGUGUACUUCAUCAUAUUAAAGAUACAAGCAAUCUCUAACGGUCUGUUAUUAAUGUGGGGAGAUUGACUGAAAAUAUUUUGCCUCAAUGGCUCUUAAGAAAUUCACAGUUCAUUUCCAGUCAUUAAAAUAAUUAGGUGCUGCGCUUUGACUACUCCACUAAGGGCACAGCUAUAGGGCAUGCUGACCUCAGCGUGAGCAAGGGUGUGAGCUCGCAGCUCAUCCCCUCCUUGCCUGGAUAGCAUCCACGUGGGCUCCCGCCCCGCACUGGAGCUGGUCUUGAAAAAUGUAAGUUAACCCAGUGAGGCACUGUUAACGCUGUUCAAGUGACGUAAGGAUGUGAGGCAGAAGGAGUUUGAUAAUUGCACUUCUCUUUCUGCACUAGCUUUUCAAUUAGUUCUUAAUCUGAAAGUCUUUUCUAGUUUUUGAAAAAGCAAAGAGAUGUUCUUGUAAUUCUGGUGUUAGGUAGCAGUAUCUUGAAGGUAUUUCUGUAAAUACACUUGAAAUGUGUAGAAUUUGGCUCAGGGGCAUUGCUGAGGGCAUGCAGAGCUUUUGUCUGCAUUGGCAGUUUGGACUUAGGCAAGGUUUAUAGUGGUGCAGGGGUGGAUGGUUUUGUACGGGUUAGGAAUGUGAUACCAGAGUCAGGUCAGUACAAGCACAGCUCCUGCUGCAGCAUCUGUAAGGGGGCUGUAAGCCCAUCGUCGAUAACGGGGUGCAUAGUGCUUCCAUCAAAGCCGCUGCUCUCUGAUGAAUUAGGCAUGGCAGACAAACUUGCAUCAGGAUCUGCUGCUAAAAGUAGCACCAAAAAUUAAGGAUGCACCAAAAUGACUCUGCCGCUUUGCACUUUUCUCUGUGCCGCAGGGCUGAGAUGCAGGGGGAUGUGCAGGCUGGCUGCUAGCUCAUCUGUACUGGUGUGGCUGCUUGCCACGUCCAACUGGUCCUGCUGAACCAAACCCAUGUGUGAACUGGGGUGAAAAGCUCUCUGCUACAUGACCAUACAGGAUCUACUAUGAUGGCAUCUAUGCCUUUGGGUAGAGCCUGUAAACAUUACUGUGAUACUAUACAUAGCGAAAGGAAAGAUUUAAGUGGACCUUUCAGAUAACCUUCACUUCAGUAAACUAAUAAAAAAAAAAUUCCACUCACUUUAACGGGAUCGGAAGAGUUCAGAUGUCUGGGUAAGUUUUCUUUCACUAUUCCCUUAUUUAACUUUGAUAAAUACCACUCAGUGGAGUUUUAGAAAUCUAAAUUUUGAUUGUGUUAGCGAUAGGAAAAUAAGCAAUAAAAAUGGCUGUUGAGAUACUUGUACACUGAUGAGGGAAUUAUCAAAACAGCUAUAGCUGAGUAACUGUGAACAGCACCAAUGUUUCCACUGAAUACAAUUAUAUUAUAUUAUUCCCCAAUUACAAAGAUUAUUUAAAUGACAAAAGUUAUAGAAUAAUAUACACUAGAAGAUGUACCUAUUUCUAAAAUCCCUGAAACCAUACUUAAAUCUUCAGAGUUAUUGCUCACCUUUAACGUAGUUCUCAUCAACUGCAGUAUAAGCCUUAGAGCUGACACUUCAGAUAAGUACAUGAUAUAGUUCAGCCCUAAAACCCUUAACAAAAAAUACAUCAGGGCUUACUGUAAAAUUUCAUGGAGGUUUAAAGAAAAUAUUAAGUCAAUAGUUCUUCAGUUAUUAGGGGCUUUUACGGUAAUCAAUACUUUCCGGCCAUAUUAGUGCCUACGAUGAUGAAAGAUGACAUUAAUAUCCAGCUCUUCUUUUUUUGGUGUAUUUGUGUCUGUCCUAUCUUUACUCAGUCCUGCUAGAAUCAAUAGCAACACAAAGAAUAUGGUUAUUUAAAAAAUGCCAUCAAUAUUGAUUUGUUUAUUACUGCCAUUUUCAAGUGGAACUUGAUUUCAGGAAAAAAAAAUACUUUUUCAUACAAAAGAAUUAACAGUCACCCUAAAACUCUGGAGUACCACGUGACUUUGCUUAUGGUGAUUUUUCAGUUUAGCAGUGUACUAAUGCAGCAAGAACUGUUUUAGGAUUAAUAAAUCCUAAAAAUAGGAUUAAUAGGAUUAAUUCUAGGAAUUCUUGAGAAUUGCAUGACAUUUUAUGCCCUCAAAGCAUUGCACAGAUGUUAAUUAAAUUUAAUUGAUAUUCAGUCCUGAACUUAUAUGCAUGCAGUUACUAAUGAUUUAAUGAUUUUUUCAAUGGAAUAGAGUCUUUGCCUUUGAUUCUGUUUCAAAAAAUUGAGACAGUCAUCCUAUGUGCAGUCUUUAGGCUCAAUCCUUCUUAUUCAGGUACCUCAGGAAUAUGGCUGGUCAAAUGACAAAAUUUCCGGCCCUUUAUAGCAGCAGUGUUUAAUGUACUUUCUUUUGUCUCCCACUGCUGGCUUUCUUCUGUGUUUCUCAGGUAAGAAUUUGCUUAAAAAUUCUGGUGAUAACUCGGUGUUUGUCUCUGCGCAUCUAGGACCUUGUUUGUGCUCAUUUCCCUGGUUGUUCAGUUCCCCAAACCAUGUAUUUAUUGACUGAUUGCAGCUUACAGUUCCAAUAAGACCAGCCAAAACAACAGAAAUAUUACAGACGUGUCUGUAUCUCUUCACCUGUGAUUGCCUUUGGCCCAGAAACUUCUCCAAGUAAGCAGUCAAGACAGAAACUUCCUAUAAAGAUAAAACCCCAUGUGCCACAGGAAUUUCAGACUGUACCCGUUGGUUCUGUCUCUGGUGAACAAUACCCUGAUGUGUUCAUGGAAACUAACACUUUACCUGUUCUGUUGCCUUGAUGGAAGGGUUUGAACUAUGCUGCAUCACCCGGACUGUUGCAGCAUCAACAGCUAUGCACGGCCAGUCCUCGUGUGCUCAGGACCCCUGCCAGCUUGGUCGGCUUCUGCCAACCCUGCACUCCUUUGCCCAUGCCUUUCCUGAGCCAGGGAGCCCCAGGCUGGAUGCACUAUUUCAGAUGCAGUCCAAGGAGUGCUGGAUAAAGGGGGUGCUGGGGGGAUGAUUUUCAAAAGAACAAUGGAAUGACAUUUUACCUGACUUUGGAAAUGAAUUCACAGCGGUGGUUUAGCAAUCUCAUGCCUUUUGUGCCUUAGAUUUGCCUUCCAUAAUACGGAAUGGGUAGUGAGAUACUUUAACAAAGCAAUAGAAAAUUUAAAAUGAGAGGGUACAUACAUUUUUCUAUCCUAUUACGAACUCCUAAAGCCAUUAGUACAUUGUUUAUAUGCUCAUAUUUGUAAUAAAGGAUUGACUAAUUGAAUUUUCAUAAAUUUUAGGCAAAGACAAAAUGAAUUGGCCUCCAUUCCAGUUUAACUCAGUGCCCCAAAAAAUUUACUUGUAGGCAAUACAUUAUUUAAAAAACACUCUGAAGAAAACAUGUCUAACUUUAUGAUACAUAUUUAGACAACAUGUCUUGAAGCCCUGUAUGGACCUACAAUAUUCAAUUUAUAUGAAAUAGAAUGAAUGAAAAAGGGGCAAAAAAAUGGGUAUUUACCUGGAAACUUGGACUGCAGUUUAUUAAUCUGUAUCUCGGUAUUGGUUGUUACUAUUAUUUGCCAUUGAUAAUGCUAAGUCAUUAAAUGAAAGUCAGUUCCUUGUGGAAGAGUUUGUUGGCUUCUUCAGGGUCCUAAAACCUGUGAAGCGUGAAAUCAAUGACAAAUUGUGAGGAGGUAUUACAAUUUUAAAAUGUAGAGCUUAUGGUGAUUUGGAACAUUGUAGAAAAUCAACCAUUUUGUGAAUGGCUAACAAAAUAUGAUAUAUUGCUGAAAAUCUCCUUAAAUACUCAGCUAUUGAAAGAAAUUAAUCCUAAGUGGGACUUCAGUAGUAGAACUUCUAAUUUGAUGAAAUUUUCAUGCUUGACAGGUAGUGAUAGCAACUAAUAACGUUAAUAACCUUACUAUUUACAGGUAAUUAUCCCUAUAAAUGAGCUGUGAUGGUUUGAAAACAUCUGUUUCCUUUUGGAAUCAGUGUAUAUCUGCCCUCAAACAAGGUGAAAAUUUGGUGUUAUAACUCUGAGGACUAAAUUUCUAUAUUUUUCCUGCGGUGCUAUAUUCCUUGCAAUUAGGCAACAGCUUAUAUGGUAACAGCUUAUAUGAUUACUGCAUUUGUAUGUAUCGCUGUGUACAUUAUUAGAAUGUGUUUCCUUAAUCUCACGGUUUUUUUCUGAUACUUUAGGCAUUAAACAAAUCAUAGACUUGAUAUGUUCAAGAUUUUUAAAGGAAUUGUUUUAUUGUUUUGCUUAUGAAAUCCUUCCAUCCUUUUAACGAGUUUUGCCGUAACUGCUUCCUCCUUGGAGGCUCGGACCAGCAUUGUGCAUAUCCACCCACACCUUCAUCCAGACCUCUUGAACUUUCCUUAACACACACAGAGCCUGCACUCUGAAUGCACAAACACAAUAAAACUCUCAGUUGAGAGCUAAUUUGAUGCCAGCUGAAUAUUCAGCUAGUACUCUGAAACUACUGGUAAUCAAAUACCUGAAACAUCUUGUGCAGAGUGAGAAUUUCUAUUUUUCAGAACCUAUGUUGCCCUCCCAUUCCCAGCAGAAGUUUUCACCAUCACUUUAUCUGAAGUCCUUUAAAGCUGUUAAGUCAGUUUGGCGUUUCGCUCAGAUGUUCUCUCAGGUGGAGGAAUCCUUUUAACGUGACGGUUAUGCUAGUAAAGAGAAAAUACUAUUAAGUCAUUUUGUAGAUGAGAGAGGUUAUCUGACAGAGGUUUCCUUAUCCAUACAGGUGGCAGCAAGAUCGCUUUUUUCCUUCCAACAGAGACAAAAGUGGCAGCUGGAUGGAAUUUAAACACAGGGCAGUAGGGGGAUUGGAACAGACACAUCUCUCUCAGGCUGUAAUUACCCCCCCCAAAGGGACUCAGCUGUACCGGGACGUGGUCACAGGUUCUUAUGCUGGGAAAUACCAGAAGAGUACAACUGGGCUGGUCAUCAAUCCACAUGGCUGAAUCUGCGUGACAUGAAGGUGACAGCUCUAAUAUUAGACUAUAGACUGAUAUAAGCUCAGUAUAGCUGGGGUGUCCAGUAUGAGUUGUAAGGCCAGAUUCUCUAUGAUUUUCCAGCUCUUUCAUGUCUCCCAUGUUCUUCAAAGUGGCUGAAAAGCAGUGAAAAGGUUUCCUGAGAUUUCUUGCAGAGCAUGAACGUUCCAAAGCAUCGCACCAGAAGAUGGUAAAGAACACGUCAAGGCAGAUAGAAAGUACAGCUAGUCUUGCUAUGCCCAAUAUACCAUUACUUGAGGGAUCUAGGCUGCUCUAACCUUUGUGAGAGUUGAGGAUGACGGACAUCCUGCAUAUGCAAGAGCAAAAUGAGAACAGCAAAAGCAUAACAGCAUGUCUAGAGUGCCUGUUCCUCUGCUCCUCCCGGCAGAAAUCCAGCUGAGUUUGGCAUUUAUGUCUAUUAUAUGUAGUUUAAGUCCAUUACAUUGUAGCAUUUUUUCCCCACCAUCUUUGCAGUGCAACUGCCUUUGGAUUGGAGUGAUGCAAUACUUAGUACCAGUAUUAAAAAAAAAAAAAAAGGUAGGAAAUUAUGUUAACAGUGUAAC
Falco peregrinus (peregrine falcon) is the source of this 14417-nucleotide long non-coding RNA. RefSeq lists it as uncharacterized. The transcript has 15 exons. The record is from RefSeq and is a predicted model, not a curated record. Lineage: Eukaryota; Metazoa; Chordata; Aves; Falconiformes; Falconidae.